CAAUACACUUAAUUACAAUCUGCCAAAACAACUUUUUAUUUCAGUAGAAAUAUCACAAGAUACCCCAUAAUAACAGAAUAGCAUGAUCGUAUUUGUAAGACGAUUUUUUUGUUAUUUUGUUGGUUAGACUAUUAUUGUUAAGCCACCAAACGGACAUGUGUGAUUGGUAUGAGAAACGACUUGAACUUUUUUGACGAAAAUCUCAGAUAAAAGUGACUAUUGACUUCCUCUCUACCACCUUGGUUCCUGCUGGACUUGUGUUGUAAUAUUACUAAAGCAGAUCGAGUAACAUCCUACAUUUUAUGUUUUAGUACACUCAAUUGUAGAAUAAACAAGGAAGUGAAGCUCCUCCUCUCUAUAAGCGUUCGCGCCAACGAUGUCGUCUCACAGCGAUUGAAGGUUCGGCGGCCAUGGAUGAAGUGCUGGCUGUCCACAGUCGGAACCCGGGUUGGACCGCUCGCCUGUGCAUCGGUUGGGGACAUCUCUGCGCUGCUGACCCAUCUCCGCUCGGGAUGGUCUCCUGCUGGCCCCACUAUGGACUGGACUCUUACUAUUAUGUUGGAUCCACUAUGGACUGGACUUUCACAAUAUUAUGCUAGACCCACUCCACGUCCAUUGCAUCCGGUCUCCCCUAGAGUUGGGGUCACCCACAUCUGCGGUCCUCUCCAGGGUUUCCCAUAGUCAUUCUCAUCGACGUCCAACUGGGUUGUGAGUUUUUCCUUGCCCUAAAGUGGGAUCUGAACCGAGGAUGUCGUUGUGGCUUGUGCAGCCCUUUGAGACACUUGUGAUUUAGGGCUAUCUAAAUAAACAUUGAUUUUUUGAUUGA
Molecule: long non-coding RNA, 826 nt
Organism: Nerophis ophidion (straightnose pipefish)
Lineage: Eukaryota; Metazoa; Chordata; Actinopteri; Syngnathiformes; Syngnathidae
Exons: 2
Source: RefSeq, a predicted model, not a curated record